This 59-nucleotide microRNA precursor is filed under the name Heligmosomoides polygyrus. RNAcentral's name for it is "microRNA hpo-mir-10094 precursor". The record is from miRBase by way of RNAcentral. Lineage: Eukaryota; Metazoa; Nematoda; Chromadorea; Rhabditida; Heligmosomidae.
AGGGCUUCCACUGGUAGUCACGAGUUUAUUUGACGUCGUGAACCCAGUAUAGUCUAUGA